This 407-nucleotide ribosomal RNA is filed under the name uncultured bacterium. Its description in RNAcentral is "partial 16S ribosomal RNA". It matches the Rfam family "Bacterial small subunit ribosomal RNA", at positions 28 to 526 of the family's 1533-position model. The record is from RNAcentral.
GACGAACGCUGGCGGCGUGCCUACUACAUGCAAGUAGGACGCAGUUGCGAACGGGUGAGUAACGCGUAGGUAACUACCUCUUAGAGGGGGAUAACUAUUGGAAACGAUAGCUAAUACCGCAUACUAGUAGAUGGACCUGCGUUGUAUUAGCUAGUAGGUAGGGUAAUGGCAUACCUAGGCAACGAUACAUAGCCGACUUGAGAAGGGGAGCGGGAACCAUGGGGACGAGGAAAGGCCCCGACGCCGACGGGAGGCAGCAGGAGGGAAACUGCGGCAAGAGGGGGAAACCUGACCCAGUCACGCCGCGGGGGUGAAUAAGGUUUUCGGAUCGGAAAACUCUGGUGGUAAGGAAGCGGUACUUAACCAGAAAGGGACGGCUAACUACGUGCCAGCAGCCGCGGUAAUUC